GGGGAUGUUCUGGCUUCGACGCUGGUGAUGAAACCUGAUGGUGCAUGCCGAGAGUAUAUGUCCUCUCGUAAAUCAAACAUAUAUUGUUAUAAUUGCAAACGACGAAAGUUACGCUCUAGCAGCCUAAACCCCUGCUUUCUUAACUGCUGAUUGCCCAUAGUUGGUCAGUUAAGUAUAGCGCACGCAUAUGGGAUCGCUCUGGGAACUGCCUUAGUUCUCAGGGUUCAAACUCAAAGGAUCGCCCAAUCCAUCCUGACUGUCGGAUCGGUGCGGGUUAAAACCAUAGACAGAAACUAAGCAUGUAGAUCCACAGGCGUAAUGCUGGCGGACGCGGGUUCAACUCCCGCCAUCUCCACC
RNAcentral lists this transfer-messenger RNA (357 nucleotides) under Psychrobacter sp. 1501(2011). It matches the Rfam family "transfer-messenger RNA". Rfam says of the family: Bacterial tmRNA, also known as 10Sa RNA or SsrA, is named for its dual tRNA and mRNA-like properties. Lineage: Bacteria; Pseudomonadati; Pseudomonadota; Gammaproteobacteria; Moraxellales; Moraxellaceae. The record is from RNAcentral.